GACGAACGCUGGCGGCGUGCUUAACACAUGCAAGUCGAACGGAAAGGCCCUGCUUGUGUGGGGUGCUCGAGUGGCGAACGGGUGAGUAACACGUGAGUAACCUGCCCUUGACUUUGGGAUAACUUCAGGAAACUGGGGCUAAUACCGGAUAGGAGCUCCUGCUGCAUGGUGGGGGUUGGAAAGUUUCGGCGGUUGGGGAUGGACUCGCGGCUUAUCAGCUUGUUGGGGGGGUAGUGGCUUACCAAGGCUUUGACGGGUAGCCGGCCUGAGAGGGUGACCGGCCACAUUGGGACUGAGAUACGGCCCAGACUCCUACGGGAGGCAGCAGUGGGGAAUAUUGCACAAUGGGCGGAAGCCUGAUGCAGCAACGCCGCGUGCGGGAUGACGGCCUUCGGGUUGUAAACCGCUUUCGCCUGUGACGAAGCGUGAGUGACGGUAAUGGGUAAAGAAGCACCGGCUAACUACGUG
This 468-nucleotide ribosomal RNA is filed under the name uncultured bacterium. RNAcentral's name for it is "partial 16S ribosomal RNA". It matches the Rfam family "Bacterial small subunit ribosomal RNA", at positions 28 to 507 of the family's 1533-position model. The record is from RNAcentral.